RNAcentral lists this long non-coding RNA (776 nucleotides) under Chloebia gouldiae (Gouldian finch). RNAcentral describes it as "Erythrura gouldiae (Gouldian finch) lncRNA (ENSEGOG00005003114.1)". The record is from RNAcentral. Lineage: Eukaryota; Metazoa; Chordata; Aves; Passeriformes; Passeridae.
CCACAAGGAGAGUGGAGCAUAAAGGCAUUUGUGGAGCAUUCUGUUUGCUAAUUGCUUAUGGAAUUUCAGGUUGAAAGAGAAGAAGGGAAUCUACCAGGUGGCUGCAUCUUGAAAAACAGCAUGGCUGGCUCUGCCCAGACUGCUUUGGAGCUCUACCCUCUCUCCUCCUCUGUGGUGUCUCAGGUGAAGAGGAGGCUUUGACAUGGGCACAGAAGGGCCACUCUGAAGGUAUGGCCUCUUGUCUCUUUGCCUUGGUUGCAUCUUGGUUUACAAAUUUGGUGGUGCUUGGGUUUUGUCACAAGAGUCUGAAAUCCUGGUGUUAGGCUGCAUUUCAUUAGAACAUGGCCAAGAAAAUCUGUCGUGAUUUUCACCCAAACCAUUUCCACACAUCUGUCUCACCUGCCCAACCCCUUUUCACAGCUACUUUUCUAGCAAUGAACUUCAUCCAAAGACACUGAAGGUAGGUUAUAUUUCCAACAAUAGGCACAGAGAAAGUGGCAGAAGCAGCAGGAACAUGGAACUUCCUCUGAUCCCUGCUCUGGUACAACUAAAGCUUGAAUAUGAGUUCCAUUCUUUUAUUUGUAUAAAAUCUGAAUUUCUACACUAACUUUGGAUCAAAAGUUUAUUCUCUAACCAGGAAGAUGUUUUGGUUUUUUGGUUUUUUUUUUUUAAUUUUUUUUUAUUUUCUACAAACUGCAUUGUUAUUUGGGGAGUAUGUUCACAAUUGAGAAAGAAUUGCCUUUAUUAACAAAUCAAAAGCUCGUGCUGUCAAAACU